UCUCCCACCACAGCUCCACUGGAUGGAACCGCCCCAGCUUCCUCCAGCCCAAACUGCUGCACCCACCACCCAGAGAAAUGGAAGUCAAGGACUCAGCAGUCCAAGGCAGCCCUUCUGAAGCAACUUCAGGGGCUCAGCAAAUAUUUGUUGAGAACCUCCUCUGUGCCUGGCUGGAUCAGGGUGGGGCUGUAGAGCUGCACAUCAUAGUCUGCAUCCGGGUCAGCCCUGAAUCUCAGGCACUGGAAGGUUACCCUGAUGGGCAGGACCCACUCCCAUCACUAAGAGAACAUCAAAAGGGCAGGUGUGGGGGUGGAUAGGAAGAUCAGGAUCUCUGAAAGGGAAAUUUCAGUC
RNAcentral lists this long non-coding RNA (351 nucleotides) under Homo sapiens (human). Its description in RNAcentral is "non-protein coding lnc-CHGA-1:4". Lineage: Eukaryota; Metazoa; Chordata; Mammalia; Primates; Hominidae. The record is from RNAcentral.